Molecule: unclassified non-coding RNA, 16 nt
Filed under: synthetic construct
Source: RNAcentral
GCAGACUUAAGUCUGC